Molecule: long non-coding RNA, 515 nt
Filed under: Polistes fuscatus (common paper wasp)
Lineage: Eukaryota; Metazoa; Arthropoda; Insecta; Hymenoptera; Vespidae
Description: uncharacterized LOC122516654
Source: RNAcentral
CGGAUGACAAAGGAUCCAGGAGUCUCGUCGAUCGAUUCGAAGGCUCACAAUCGUGAGCAUGUUUUAUUUAUCGGAAUAAUUCAGAAAGAACGUGGGGGUUGUUCAACGAGUUACUCGCUGACCACGAAUAAAUGCGAAGAAGAAGACAACAACGAACAACGACGUAACAACGACAUAGACGACCACCACCACGACAAAUAUAAGAAGGAGGGAAAGGAUCGAGUUUCGGCGCAAUCUCCUAACGGUCCUCGUUUCUACGGACAAUGAAAUACCUCUGAAAAUAUGUAAUAUUAUCGUCAACAACCAAGGUGGACCUUUUGUAAGAAACCAGUCGCUUGCUCGCUAGCAUCGUUCAAAUGGAAUUACGUUGCGUUGCGAGAAGCAAGAACGAGAAACUCUCGAUUCGCGUCGUACGUCUAGCGGUGCUUAUACUCAACGUUUACGAGCAACCUCGUCUGAAUAUCUAAUUGUUCUAGUUGUUGAAAGAAGAAAAAAGAAAAAGAAAAAGUAAGAAA